This 460-nucleotide ribosomal RNA is filed under the name uncultured bacterium. RNAcentral's name for it is "partial 16S ribosomal RNA". It matches the Rfam family "Bacterial small subunit ribosomal RNA", at positions 338 to 795 of the family's 1533-position model. The record is from RNAcentral.
CCUACGGGAGGCAGCAGUGAGGAAUAUUGGUCAAUGGCCGGAAGGCUGAACCAGCCAAGCCGCGUGAAGGACGAAGGUGCCAAGCAUUGUAAACUUCUUUUGUCAAGGGACAAAAUCAGGCUCGAGAGCCUGACCGAGGGUACUUGAAGAAAAAGCAUCGGCUAACUCCGUGCCAGCAGCCGCGGUAAUACGGAGGAUGCGAGCGUUAUCCGGAUUUAUUGGGUUUAAAGGGUGCGUAGGCGGGAAGCCAAGUCAGCUGUGAAAACUACGGGCUUAACUUGUAGACUGCAGUUGAAACUGGUUUUCUUGAGUGAAGUAGAGGUUGGCGGAAUGCCGGGUGUAGCGGUGAAAUGCGUAGAUAUUCGGAGGAACACCGGUGGCGAAGGCGGCCAACUGGGCUUUAACUGACGCUGAGGCUCGAAAGUGUGGGGAGCAAACAGGAUUAGAUACCCGAGUAGUC